This 481-nucleotide ribosomal RNA is filed under the name uncultured bacterium. Its description in RNAcentral is "partial 16S ribosomal RNA". It matches the Rfam family "Bacterial small subunit ribosomal RNA", at positions 28 to 507 of the family's 1533-position model. The record is from RNAcentral.
GAUGAACGCUGGCGGCGUGCUUAACACAUGCAAGUCGAACGAAGCAUUUGCGACAGAUUUUUUCGGAAUGAAGUUGCUUAUGACUGAGUGGCGGACGGGUGAGUAACGCGUGGGUAACCUGCCUUGUACUGGGGGAUAGCAGCUGGAAACGGCUGGUAAUACCGCAUAAGCGCACAAUGUUGCAUGACAUGGUGUGAAAAACUCCGGUGGUAUAAGGUGGACCCGCGUCUGAUUAGCUAGUUGGUGAGAUAACAGCCCACCAAGGCGACGAUCAGUAGCCGACCUGAGAGGGUGACCGGCCACAUUGGGACUGAGACACGGCCCAGACUCCUACGGGAGGCAGCAGUGGGGAAUAUUGCACAAUGGAGGAAACUCUGAUGCAGCGACGCCGCGUGAGUGAAGAAGUAAUUCGUUAUGUAAAGCUCUAUCAGCAGGGAAGAUAGUGACGGUACCUGACGAAGAAGCUCCGGCUAAAUACGUG